Molecule: unclassified non-coding RNA, 200 nt
Filed under: uncultured fungus
Lineage: Eukaryota; Fungi
Description: sequence contains ITS1
Source: RNAcentral
UUAACUAUUAUAUAGUACUCAGACGACACUAAUAUUCAGGGUUUUGGGUUCUCUGGCGGGCACACACCAGCCGAGGCCGGUGGAGGGGCGAACCACAGUCGUCCCGCCAAAGCAACAUAGUAAUAAUAACAUAGGGUGGGAGAUCUACCCGUAAGGGCAAGAACUCUGUAAUGAUCCCUCCGCAGGUUCACCUACGGAGA